Molecule: ribosomal RNA, 389 nt
Filed under: Astacus astacus (noble crayfish)
Lineage: Eukaryota; Metazoa; Arthropoda; Malacostraca; Decapoda; Astacidae
Description: partial small subunit ribosomal RNA
Source: RNAcentral
UUGAAGGCUGGAAUGAAUGGUUGGACAAGAAAUAAGCUGUCUUAAAUAAAAAUAUUGAACUUAACUUUUAAGUGAAAAGGCUUAAAUUUUCUAAAGGGACGAUAAGACCCUAUAAAACUUUAUAUUUAAAAGUAAUUGCAAUUAUUAUUUAAAGAUUUUAUUUUUAAAUAUUUUAUUGGGGUGAUAAGGAUAAAAUAUAAGACAACUGUCUUUUAUUUUAACAAUAAUUUUUGAGUAAAUGAUCUUAGUAAAGGAAUAAAAGAUUAAGUUACUUUAGGGAUAACAGCGUAAUUUUCUUUGAGAGUUCUUAUCGACAAGAAAGUUUGCGACCUCGAUGUUAAAUUAAAAGUUCUUUAUAGAGUAGAGACUAUAUUAGAAGGUCUGUUCGA